GACGAACCGUGCGAACGUUGUUCGGAAUCACUGGGCUUAAAGGGCGCGUAGGCGGCUCGCCCAGUCGGGGGUGAAAUCUUUCGGCUUAACCGGAAAAUGGCCUCCGAUACUGGCGAGCUCGAGGGGGGUAGGGGCGGACGGAACUUCCGGUGGAGCGGUGAAAUGCGUUGAUAUCGGAAGGAACGCCGGUGGCGAAAGCGGUCCGCUGGGCCCCUUCUGACGCUGAGGCGCGAAAGCCAGGGGAGCAAACGGG
This 253-nucleotide ribosomal RNA is filed under the name uncultured bacterium. RNAcentral's name for it is "partial 16S ribosomal RNA". It matches the Rfam family "Bacterial small subunit ribosomal RNA", at positions 524 to 776 of the family's 1533-position model. The record is from RNAcentral.